GUUCAGGCACAGGUGAGGCUGUCCAUGGUGCUGUGCAGGCACAGGUAAGGCUGUGCAGGCACAGGUGAGGCUGUCCAUGGUGCUGUGCAGGCACAGGUGAGGCUGUUCAUGGUGCUGUGCAGGCACAGGUGAGGCUGUCCAUGGUGCUGUGCAGGAGCAGAGCUCCACACUCCAGCAGUGAUUUCCCCAAGCCC
Long non-coding RNA from Serinus canaria (Common canary), 194 nucleotides. RefSeq lists it as uncharacterized. Lineage: Eukaryota; Metazoa; Chordata; Aves; Passeriformes; Fringillidae. The record is from RefSeq and is a predicted model, not a curated record. The transcript is spliced from 3 exons.